UUGAACGCUGGCGGCAUGCCUUACACAUGCAAGUCGAACGGUAACAGGUCUUCGGAUGCUGACGAGUGGCGAACGGGUGAGUAAUACAUCGGAACGUGCCCGAUCGUGGGGGAUAACGAGGCGAAAGCUUUGCUAAUACCGCAUACGAUCUACGGAUGAAAGCGGGGGAUCUUCGGACCUCGCGCGGACGGAGCGGCCGAUGGCAGAUUAGGUAGUUGGUGGGAUAAAAGCUUACCAAGCCGACGAUCUGUAGCUGGUCUGAGAGGAUGAUCAGCCACACUGGGACUGAGACACGGCCCAGACUCCUACGGGAGGCAGCAGUGGGGAAUUUUGGACAAUGGGCGAAAGCCUGAUCCAGCCAUGCCGCGUGCAGGAUGAAGGCCUUCGGGUUGUAAACUGCUUUUGUACGGAACGAAAAGCCUCUUUCUAAUAAAGAGGGGUCAUGACGGUACCGUAAGAAUAAGCACCGGCUAACUACGUG
RNAcentral lists this ribosomal RNA (481 nucleotides) under uncultured bacterium. Its description in RNAcentral is "partial 16S ribosomal RNA". It matches the Rfam family "Bacterial small subunit ribosomal RNA", at positions 30 to 507 of the family's 1533-position model. The record is from RNAcentral.